GUCAUUGACUUCCUUCAAAAAAAUGUUUAAAACAACUGUUAUUUUGAAUUUCUGGUUAUAACACGAACCUCGGGGAAUGCCAUUAUGCUAUUUUAUGCCACGAUCAAGAACAAUCGUUACAUUCAAGAAAUAGAAUUUUAGAGCUUCGCUCAUCUAUGUGCCAGCACUCAGAUACUGUCAUAAAACGCGGAGUUUCCAUACGACGACCAACCUAACGGCUCCCGCGUGAGAUCGCGCAUUCUCUGGAAUAUUUCACAGGGGUUGUCCACACGAUCACUUCGGCGUACAUCCUAUUCUACUUCCAAGAACACAAUACGCUGAAAGCGUAACGAAAGUGAGGACACGAAAUCUUCUCUUUCAGUAUAUAUAUACAGCUGGUCGACAACGAGUGGGAUGGAGUAAUGAAAGAGCAGCUAAAAAGGGAAAGAGAGACUGGAAUCUCGAGGUAGCUUGUUGUUCGAGAGCGAGGAGUACGACUCUUGUUCGAUGAUUUAAGAAUCAACUUGGCCCCUCCUCGACCCCAAUCUCCACGGAAUCCCCGGUUUCUGACCUUACCUCCAACUUCAGAAAAGAAGAGGAAAUUCAAUCCGUGCAAGAUCUUUCUCAAGUUCUUUCGAUACUAUGCAAUGUUCGUCUCAGCUUCAUAUUGACAUUUCGAGACUGCAUUUAAUGCUAAACCUUUGUCAUUUGCUGGUUACGUUCGUCUUAACUAGUAAAUUAUUUACAAUUGAUAUACACGCUGUGUUUAACAAUAUUCCAAGGAUUAUCGUUUAUUAUUUCUCCAUAAAUUGUGGUCGCAUAACGUAUAAGUAAAAGUAAGACAAAAUUAUUAAUGUUAUAAAAUUUUAGGUCAACGAUUAAUGUUGUUGGUUUAAAACACUUAAUGAUUAGGUAGAAAGAAGGAAAUUUCCAUAAAACUACCACAUAUACUUUUGAUAAAAUUUUAUAAUUAUUCCAUGAUAAUGACAUGUUUGUGUACAAUACCACUUUGGGAAAACCAGCAAAGAAACAUGUGCCUUGGUUAUAAUAAAAAAAGGUAACAUUUAUUUAAAAAAACGUAAUUCAAUAAAAUAAUAUAAAACAA
This is a long non-coding RNA of Bombus impatiens (common eastern bumble bee), 1084 nucleotides long. RefSeq lists it as uncharacterized. The record is from RefSeq and is a predicted model, not a curated record. Lineage: Eukaryota; Metazoa; Arthropoda; Insecta; Hymenoptera; Apidae. The transcript is spliced from 2 exons.